GACGUAGGGCGCGAGCGUUGUCCGGAUUUAUUGGGCGUAAAGAGCUCGUAGGCGGCUUGUCGCGUCGACUGUGAAAACCCGCGGCUCAACCGCGGGCUUGCAGUCGAUACGGGCAGGCUAGAGUUUGGUAGGGGAGACUGGAAUUCCUGGUGUAGCGGUGAAAUGCGCAGAUAUCUGGAGGAACACCGGUGGCGAAGGCGGCAUCCUGGACCGGCAUUGACGCUGAGGCGCGAAAGCCAGGGGAGCAAACGGG
Molecule: ribosomal RNA, 253 nt
Filed under: uncultured bacterium
Lineage: Bacteria
Description: partial 16S ribosomal RNA
Rfam family: Bacterial small subunit ribosomal RNA
Source: RNAcentral